Cavia porcellus (domestic guinea pig) is the source of this 102-nucleotide unclassified non-coding RNA. It matches the Rfam family "Y RNA". From Rfam's summary of the family: Y RNAs are components of the Ro ribonucleoprotein particle (Ro RNP), in association with Ro60 and La proteins. The Y RNAs and Ro60 and La proteins are well conserved, but the function of the Ro RNP is not known. Lineage: Eukaryota; Metazoa; Chordata; Mammalia; Rodentia; Caviidae. The record is from Ensembl.
GGCUGGUCCGAGUGCAGUGGUGUUUACAACUAAUUGAUCACAACCAGUUACAGAUUUCUUUGUUCCUUCUCCACUCCCACUGCUUCACUUGACUAGUUUAAA